UAAUACGUAGGUGGCGAGCGUUGUCCGGAUUUACUGGGCGUAAAGAGCGCGCAGGCGGCUGGGCAAGUCCGAUGUGAAAGCUUCCGGCUUAACUGGAAAAUUGCAUCGGAAACUGCUCGGCUUGAAGGUGGGAGAGGGUAGCGGAAUUCCCGGUGUAGUGGUGAAAUGCGUAGAUAUCGGGAGGAACACCAGUGGCGA
This 198-nucleotide ribosomal RNA is filed under the name uncultured bacterium. RNAcentral describes it as "partial 16S ribosomal RNA". It matches the Rfam family "Bacterial small subunit ribosomal RNA", at positions 521 to 718 of the family's 1533-position model. The record is from RNAcentral.